UAUGCAAAAAAUAAAAUAUAAUUAGUAUUAAAUAUUAAUAAUAGUGAAUUACCUAAAAAUCAUAUACAUCUGGUAACAAUAUAAAUUAUAUAAUACAAACAGUUGACAAAAUUUGAUAGUUGUUUUUAAUCAUAAAUAUGUACCGAAAAAAUAAAAAAUAAUUAUAUUAAUUGAAUACUUUUAGAACUUUAGAAUAUUGUAGAAAGUAGAUCUUAACCAAAACUGGGAAUACGUAAAAAUUGUUAUUACCGGCGCUUUUGAAAACCACUGUGAAUUUUGACCUCUCAAAAGUACCAACUAGAUAUACUUUCCCAUCAGAAUAUAUGCUAAAAUUGAAAACCUAAGCAUUAUUUCUACUAGAGAAAUGUAUACAGAUAGAAAAAAACCACACAUCAUUGUAAAAUCGAUGCAAUCAUCGCAUCGCUCUGUUGUAUGUGCCAAUAUUACUUUCUACUUAAAUAGUUUAAUGUUUCAUAUUCGUAAUAAUAGGCCAACGAAGCAAAUGAGCUGAGGCAGCACUUUGUAAAAUAAUAUUUAAGAACGUAUGCACAAUGGUAGAGGGACAGUGCGGGUUCUCGAAGUGAGGCCCGUAUGUUUGUAAGCGAUCCAUCGAGACUCGUAUUUUUGUUUGUUUGUGUUUAAUAAAGUUAUUUAAUAGUGUGAAUAUUGUCAUUGAUUAUUUUGUGUACCAUCGAGAGAUAGGUUUACGACAACUUGGAAUCUAAAAUGGACACCUAUGUAGGGGCGGCUCCAGACUCCAGAGACAUGGUUAUAUUAGGUUAGAUUUCCAGACAAAUCUUGAUUUCACAAAAUACGAAAAUAAUUUUUUGUCUGGAAAUCUAGAAUAUUACAAUCUUCAGUCAAAAUACUGAUAAAACUACAC
This is a long non-coding RNA of Acyrthosiphon pisum (pea aphid), 883 nucleotides long. RefSeq lists it as uncharacterized. NCBI's taxonomy places the organism in Eukaryota, Metazoa, Arthropoda, Insecta, Hemiptera, Aphididae. The transcript is spliced from 2 exons. The record is from RefSeq and is a predicted model, not a curated record.